GACGAACGCUGGCGGCGUGCCUAAUACAUGCAAGUCGAGCGAAUUGAUGGGAGCUUGCUCCCUGAUAUUAGCGGCGGACGGGUGAGUAACACGUGGGUAACCUGCCUGUAAGAUUGGGAUAACUCCGGGAAACCGGAGCUAAUACCGGAUAACAUGUUGAACCGCAUGGUUCAACAUUGAAAGAUGGCUUUUUGCUAUCACUUACAGAUGGACCCGCGGCGCAUUAGCUAGUUGGUGAGGUAACGGCUCACCAAGGCAACGAUGCGUAGCCGACCUGAGAGGGUGAUCGGCCACACUGGGACUGAGACACGGCCCAGACUCCUACGGGAGGCAGCAGUAGGGAAUCUUCCGCAAUGGACGAAAGUCUGACGGAGCAACGCCGCGUGAACGAUGAAGGCCUUCGGGUCGUAAAGUUCUGUUGUUAGGGAAGAACAAGUACCAGAGUAACUGCUGGUACCUUGACGGUACCUAACCAGAAAGCCACGGCUAACUACGUGCCAGCCGCCGCCGUAACAC
Molecule: ribosomal RNA, 516 nt
Filed under: uncultured bacterium
Lineage: Bacteria
Description: bacterial SSU rRNA
Rfam family: Bacterial small subunit ribosomal RNA
Source: RNAcentral